ACAGUACAAACUGAGCAGGCCGUGACAGCAAUGUUAUGGAGUCGGGUCACCUAAGUGACAGUGGAAUCUUUCAUCCACGGGACAGU
RNAcentral lists this non-coding RNA (86 nucleotides) under pig gut metagenome. Its description in RNAcentral is "NiCo riboswitch". It matches the Rfam family "NiCo (Nickel/Cobalt) riboswitch aptamer". The record is from RNAcentral.